GACGAACGCUGGCGGCGUGCUUAACACAUGCAAGUCGAACGGAAAGGCCCUGCUUUUGUGGGGUGCUCGAGUGGCGAACGGGUGAGUAACACGCGAGUAACCUGCCCUUGACUUUGGGAUAACUUCAGGAAACUGGGGCUAAUACCGGAUAGGAGCUCCUGCUGCAUGGUGGGGGUUGGAAAGUUUCGGCGGUUGGGGAUGGACUCGCGGCUUAUCAGCUUGUUGGUGGGGUAGUGGCUUACCAAGGCUUUGACGGGUAGCCGGCCUGAGAGGGUGACCGGCACAGCUGGGACGGAGACACGGCCCAGACUCGUAGGGGAGGCAGCAGGGGGGAAUUUUGGACAAUGGGGGCAACCCUGAUCCAGCCAUGCCGCGUGCGGGAAGAAGGCCUUGGGGUUGUAAACCGCUUUUGUUCGGGAAGAAAUCCUCUGGGCUAAUACCCCGGGGGGAUGACGGUACCGGAAGAAUAAGCACCGGCUAACUACGU
Molecule: ribosomal RNA, 487 nt
Filed under: uncultured bacterium
Lineage: Bacteria
Description: partial 16S ribosomal RNA
Rfam family: Bacterial small subunit ribosomal RNA
Source: RNAcentral